This 253-nucleotide ribosomal RNA is filed under the name uncultured bacterium. Its description in RNAcentral is "partial 16S ribosomal RNA". It matches the Rfam family "Bacterial small subunit ribosomal RNA", at positions 524 to 776 of the family's 1533-position model. The record is from RNAcentral.
UACGGAGGAUGCGAGCGUUAUCCGGAUUUACUGGGUGUAAAGGGCGUGUAGCCGGGCUGACAAGUCAGAUGUGAAAUCCGGGGGCUCAACCCCCGAACUGCAUUUGAAACUGUUGGUCUUGAGUAUCGGAGAGGCAGGCGGAAUUCCUAGUGUAGCGGUGAAAUGCGUAGAUAUUAGGAGGAACACCAGUGGCGAAGGCGGCCUGCUGGACGACAACUGACGGUGAGGCGCGAAAGCGUGGGGAGCAAACAGG